GUGCCAGCCGCCGCGGUAAUACGUAGGUGGCGAGGCGUUGUCCCGGAUUUUUUGGGCGUAAAAGGGUGCGGUAAGGCGGAUGUUUAAGUUGGGAUUGUGAAAUCCCCCGGGGCUUUAACCUGGGGGCUGCAUUCCAAACUGGAUAUCUAGAGUGCAGGAGAGGAAAGCGGAAUUCCUAGUGUAGCGGUGAAAUGCGUAGAGAUUAGGAAGAACACCAGUGGCGAAGGCGGCUUUCUGGACUGUAACUGACGCUGAGGCACGAAAGCGUGGGUAGCAAACAGGAUUAGAUACCCUGGUAGU
Molecule: ribosomal RNA, 300 nt
Filed under: uncultured microorganism
Description: bacterial SSU rRNA
Rfam family: Bacterial small subunit ribosomal RNA
Source: RNAcentral